Long non-coding RNA from Ananas comosus (pineapple), 655 nucleotides. RefSeq lists it as uncharacterized. The record is from RefSeq and is a predicted model, not a curated record. NCBI's taxonomy places the organism in Eukaryota, Viridiplantae, Streptophyta, Magnoliopsida, Poales, Bromeliaceae. The transcript has 4 exons.
GAUUGAGUUGGUAAGGGGUUUUAUAGUAAUUUCGCAUUGAAGGUUAUCUUCUAAGCUCUCAGCUCGACUCCCCCAGCUGAUAUUAGAAUGCUGGAGCUUGAGGAACAGGCUGGUUUGGAGAGGCUUGGAGCAGCUAUAGAAGUGUGGAAAGAAGUGUUUUGAUAGUGAUUCUUCAGCCCUAACUCAGUUGGAUUUGGUGUACUCCAACCUGAGUUAAGUGGAGAUUUAAUCUUGGUUCUAAACUAGGGUGCUUGGAGACUAAAGAAUACCUUCGCUCGCGGGAUCGACAAGAGUCGACAACCAUUCGAUGGGUUUAUUCUUACCAAAAUGGACGAAUUCUCUCUAUAUCUUCUUUGACAUUAUGAAAUUGGAAUAGUUGCAUGUUCAUAUGAAUAUAUGUUUGAAUGGAUUGGUGCAUGCAUAAAUAUGCGUAUUAUGUCGGAUAAAAAUAAACUUCUAUGUAGUAGAGAAAGGAUUAUGAAAUUGUUUAGCAUACAUAGAUUACUUACUCGUUUAGUAUGCAUUACAUGAUAUUAGCAAACUUGUAUAGACAAGUUAAGUAUGACAUCAUUCAAUAGUGAAUGGAUGUAAAGCUAUGAAUAUGACACUUAGUUUAGAUGCACAAUUAAGUGAAUGAUGUUAUUAUAGUGCUUAA